This is a long non-coding RNA of Gallus gallus (chicken), 2178 nucleotides long. Lineage: Eukaryota; Metazoa; Chordata; Aves; Galliformes; Phasianidae. The record is from Ensembl.
GAAACCUCCGUUUGUGUUUACGGAUGUGCAGCGGCACUGUGGGGUUCCUCCGUGUUCGUCCCAGAGAGGCGAGCCUUGGCGUGUUUCUGCUACCUGUCCAUCAGUAAUCUGACCCAGCCCGUAGCUCACAGAAGGCCUCGGUGCAUUCAGUGAGAGCUUCCAGAUGGCCCCUACUUCUGGAGAACAUCUGGAGCUGCCGUGAGAUAGCAGCUUUUCAACUGAGAUUACAGAGAGGAGAAAGCUGAAUGCCCAUCACUGCCCAGCUCAAAGCCUAAGAUGACAAGGGGAUGGCUGAAAACAGCUCUGGAACCUCUGGAACUGAAAUACACGUUUGGUAAUAUCUGAUUCAAGAUUGGCUGACAGGAUGACAGCAGCCUGCUGACAGAGCAGCUACAGCCUCCUGCCUUGGAGAUGAUGGAUAGUUUGUGGACAUGACGGAUAGUUUGUGGAGAUGACAGAGCAGUAGUAUGAUGAGAACUGAUGGAUGAGAGCAGCAAGUAUCUGGCUUCAGAGAAACUAGACGGGCUUUCCCCGAGGGCUGAAGGAGGAUGGUUAGAAGGGACAGUCCCGUGAUUCUCUGGCUACAGGGACAAAAACAGACUUGGAACAACUCAGACUUCCUUAUCUGCCUGUUCUGUCCCCUUUGCUGCUUCUCUCAAAUGAUUUGGGGGCCAUGCAUUGCAAAUUAAGCUAAUGUUGUGUUCCAGGCUAAGAAUAAUCUCCCCAGACAAGGAAAAAGGACAAGAAAACAGGGACAAGAACAGUGUCCUAAUGUACUUUUUUCAGUUCCCAUCACAGUAACCCUCUGUCGUCUCUUGGCAUCAUCUUAACUCUCAUCCUGUAGGUCCUGGUGAGGUACUUCCCUCAAGUACAGGUGCAGAGGUGUCUCACCAGUGAGCCUGCAGGCACAAACCAAACCAUGCUGUUGUCACAACUUUUGAGAUGCUCGCCUUUUCCAGACAGCACAGACCUCUAGUCUGCUUUGGCCUCUCUCAGGUCCCUUAAAGCAUCUCUUGGUGACAUCUGGGACACUGUAAGACAGAGCUGCAGCCAUUUCGGCUCAGCACAGCAGGGACAGCAGAGAUUUCCGUGCCUUUUGCUGAUAUGAGAGCAAACUCAAGGCCAUGCAACCGCAUCUUUCCCACCUCCCCCUCCCAGUUCCAAAUUUCUGCACUGCAGUGCAGCCUUGAUGGCAGCAAGCCCUGGCUUGCGGCUUCUCUUUCGAGCGCUUGAGGGCACUGUUGGAAUUUGGAACGAGGCUGAUCUGUGGGGUGAAGGAUUUGUUUCCUGCCACGCCAUGCAGAGGCACAUCAGGUUGCCAGGACUCUGGCUUCCACUGGAAGCCUUGCUGCUUGCAGGGGUAUGUAACUUUGGCAUGCAUGUACUGUCUCAGGCAAAAACUUUCUCAGAAAAUAUCAGGUAACUGAGGCUUCUUACAUCUUGUAAGUGUUUCUCCCUUCCACUUUUAACUCCAAAGCUUCUCUUGAAGGUCUGAUUUUAGGGAGAGGAGCACGUUGCACAAUCAGUUCUUGGGAGGAAGCAGACCAUAAAAGGUCAGAUCACAUGGAGAUAUGCUUCACCUGCACAGAUACUGUGAGUGCUGUUCAUGCAUGGACUUGUGUGCAAACACAAAUCUCACUGCUGUCAGCCUCCAAGGGAGCCAGCAGAGCAGGCUGUGCUCCAGGGUCAAUGCUACAACGGCUCAGAAGGAGUGCACGCAGCACUCUGCUGAGAAGCUGUGCCAGAGUAAUUAUUUACAUGUGCUGGCAUAAAGUAAUUACUAAUGGAGCGGAACACCAUGCACAGUCCCUCCAAGCUGUCCCAGAGGAGGCACUGGGAGGUACUGAGCAAAGUGCACUCUCAGUGUAUCAAACUUCAGAUUUCCUCCCACCUCAAUCCUCCCCCUCCUCCCAGGGGAGCAGAGGAGCCUCUGUCACCCCUUCUAUCCCGUCCUCUUGCCUAUGCCAGCAUGAUCCAGGGCUGUAGGUUGCCCUGUUACUUCAGCUAAAUCACACACAAAACUCACUUUGAUGAGGUCUUUUGGAGAUGAUGGCAUUCACAUUAAAAAGCUGGGACUGUAAAUUGAUUUGUGCUAUUUCACUGCUGUGUUUCUCUUGCUGUUUCAGAGGUGGACCGCUGGCACAACUACAUGCACCCAGACCCACUUCCUAAUGCCCU